UGGGGAAUAUUGGACAAUGGGCGAAAGCCUGAUCCAGCCAUGCCGCGUGUGUGAAGAAGGUCUUCGGAUUGUAAAGCACUUUAAGUUGGGAGGAAGGGCAGUAAGCGAAUACCUUGCUGUUUUGACGUUACCGACAGAAUAAGCACCGGCUAACUCUGUGCCAGCAGCCGCGGUAAUACAGAGGUUGCAAGCGUUAAUCGGAAUUACUGGGCGUAAAGCGCGCGUAGGUGGUUCGUUAAGUUGAAUGUGAAAGCCCCGGGCUCAACCUGGGAACUGCAACCAAAACUGGCGAGCUAGAGUAGGGCAGAGGGUGGUGGAAUUUCCUGUGUAGCGGUGAAAUGCGUAGAUAUAGGAAGGAACACCAGUGGCGAAGGCGACCACCUGGGCUCAUACUGACACUGAGGUGCGAAAGCGUGGGGAGCAAACAGG
Molecule: ribosomal RNA, 429 nt
Filed under: Pseudomonadota bacterium
Lineage: Bacteria; Pseudomonadati; Pseudomonadota
Description: Proteobacteria bacterium partial 16S ribosomal RNA
Rfam family: Bacterial small subunit ribosomal RNA
Source: RNAcentral